CAAUAGCGUAUAUUAACGUUGUUGCAGUUAGAACGCUCGUAGUCGGAUUUCGGGGCGGGCCGACCGGUCUGCCGAUGGGUACGCACUGGUCGGCGCGUCCUUCCUUCCGGAGACCGUGCCUACUCUUAACUGAGCGGGGGCGGGAGACGGAACGUUUACUUUGAAAAAAUCAGAGUGUUUCAAGCAGGCAGUGCGCUCUUGCAUGGAUUAGCAUGGGAUAAUGAAAUAGGACUUUGGUGCUAUUUUGUUGGUUUCGAACACCGAAGUAAUGAUUAAAAGGGACAGUCAGGGGCACUCGUAUUCCGCCGAGAGAGGUGAAAUUCUCAGACCAGCGGAAGACGAACCACUGCGAAAGCAUUUGCCAGGGAUGUUUUCACUGA
This 380-nucleotide ribosomal RNA is filed under the name uncultured eukaryote. Its description in RNAcentral is "partial 18S ribosomal RNA". It matches the Rfam family "Eukaryotic small subunit ribosomal RNA", at positions 592 to 976 of the family's 1831-position model. The record is from RNAcentral.